RNAcentral lists this long non-coding RNA (7586 nucleotides) under Gossypium barbadense (sea-island cotton). Its description in RNAcentral is "long non-coding RNA (GBAR_LNC011572)". The record is from RNAcentral. Lineage: Eukaryota; Viridiplantae; Streptophyta; Magnoliopsida; Malvales; Malvaceae.
CCUAAUAGCCGAUGUGAUGAAUGUGAAAGUGUAUAUAUGUGAUAAGGCCUAAUGGCCGAUGCGAUGAAUGUGAAAGUGUAUAUAUGUGAUAAGGCCUAAUGGCCGAUGUAAUAAAUGUGAAAGUGUAUAUAUGUGACAGGGCCGAGUGGCCAACGUAAUGGAUGUGAAAGUGCAUAAAUGUGAUAAGUCCCGAAAGGCAUUUGUGUCAGUACUAUAUCCGGGUUAAAACCCCGCAGGCUUUAUGCGAGAAUAUUAUCACUGAUUAAUGUUCUUAAGCUUCGUGCUUGUACUAUAUCCGAGCUCUAAAGACCCGAUGACUACGUGUGGGGAUUUUGUCCGGAUAAGACCCGAUAACUUCGUGUGGAGAUUAUGUCCGGGUAAGACUUCGUAAUAAGAAUUGCUUAUAAAUAUAUUCAAUGCGAAAGGUUAAACAGGUAUGUACUUCAAGUUUAUAUGUGAGCUUGAUUUGCACUAAAUCAUAAGGUAGUUAUGUGAUGCAUACGAAAGCAAUCUAUGAGACUAUUCCUAUGAUUAUGUGACAUCGGAUCAGUGUGAGAGGUGAUGUGAAAUCAUACGAUAUAUCUAUGUCACAUGAGUUCACUUUUAUGUGAAAGUUUAUCUGCCUAUUGUAUAUGAUGAGAUGUGCAGAUUCGGUAAAGGGAUGGUAUGCCCGAAGGAAGAGUGAAAUAAAAAUACGAACAACUAUGUUAUAAUUUGAUUGUUAUCUGUUGACACUGCUUAAAACUUACUAAGCAUUGUAAUGCUUACUCCGUUUACUCUGUUUCCUCUAUUUUAUAGAUCUCAUUGCGAAGCUACAGGCUCGGGGAUCGUCAGCAACUAGUCACACUAUCACUAUCCACUGUUUGGUACUGCUAUGUUUCGGAUUGUCUUAUGGCAUGUAUAAAAUAGACUAGUGGCGGAAGAAUAUUUUGGUUAAUGUAUAUAGCCAUGCGAAAAUGGCUUAUAUAUGUUUGAGCAUAAUGUUAUAAUCAUUUGGUAUGGAAUGGUUAAUCGCUAUCAUGAUUUGUGCUAUUUAUGCUAAAAGGGCUAGUUGAAUCAUGGAAACUAUGAAAUAGGUAAAGUCUACCUUAAAGGCAGAUGCUGGCAGCAGCAGUGAUGUAGAUUUGGAAAAUCACUAAAAAUAGUAGGAUUGGAAUUAAAUAGCGAAUAAAUUAUGUAAACGAACCCUGAUGAAUCUAUUUUCAUAGGAAAGUAACGAAAUGAUCAUAUGGACAGUAUGUUAAGAGAUAUUCAGGUUCUCGUGAGAAAGCGCCAGAACGGUUUCUGGAUUCCCUGUUACGACUUUGGAAAUUCAUUAUAAAUUAACCAGAGAUAAUUAGGAGUCAUUCCACAUAUGUAUGGAUUCUUCUCUGAGUCUAGUUUCUAUAUAAACAAACGGCAUCAGUAUUGAAACCCUGUGUAGGGAGAUAUCCAAGUCGUAAUGCGCAAAGGUCAGUGUAGUCGAUCCCUGUAACAUGGGAGACUUUGACUAAUAAACUGUACUAAUUGGCCUGACCAAAAAUUCUAAAAAAAAAUAUGUAGAUGGGCAUAUGAGUCUAGUUUGAGGGAAAAAUUACGAAAUUGAUUUUCAAGUUGUGAAACUCAAGAUAUGAUUUUUAAAGCGACUAGUAUGCAGAUUGGCAGUGUCUGGGAAUUUUUUUUUAUAAGUGGUUAAAGUCUGCUAACACCUCGUGUUCGACUCCGGUGACGGUCUCGGGUUCGGGGUGUUACAUUUGAUUGGUAUCAGAGCUACGGUUUAGUCGAUUCUAGGACUAACGUAGCACGCGUGAGUCUAUUUAUACAUGCCAUAAAGUGAUAAAAUGAUAGUGUGAUGAUUUUUUAGCUAUUAAAAUGUGUUUGCUGUAUUGUAAUGAAUCUUGAUCCCGAUCGAGCUGUAGCAAGCUUCUGACUAUGAGAAUUUGCGAUAUAACUUCAUUUAGAUAUGCCUAAAUUAUUAAGUUGAUCAGGUACGUAUCAUGUACUCGUAUUUGAAUUUCGAUUUGGAUUGAAUUAUAAGGGUAUAAGUGAUGCAAUUUUGAAGGAGUGUUAUGACUAUAAAUGUGAUUUUUGUAUGUGGCUAUGGAACUGGAAGUUGAAUGGUCGAUAAGCAUGUUGUGUUUGUAUUCAUGUAAUGUAAAUGAUAUACUAAUGUGUAUUGCUAUAUGUGUAUAUGUAUGUAGAGACGAAAUUGUCGAAUGUAAAAAGGCAGUGAAGUGUAUAGAGUGGUUGGUUUUCAGCACUAAGUGUGCGGGAAAUAAGUGUUCACGGUUGUGAGAUUGGCACUAAGUGUGCGGGCAAUAAGUGUUCACGGUUGUGAGAUUGGCACUAAGUGUUCACGGUUGUGAGAUUGGCACUAAGUGUGCGGGCAAUAAGUGUUCACGGUUGUGAGAUUGGCACUAAGUGUGCGGGCUUGAAAUGCAUGGCACUAAGUGUGCGAGUUUAAAGUACAUGGCACUAAGUGUGCGUGGUUGAUUAUUAAGCACUAUGUGUGCGAACCCACUAUAUAUAUACAUAUUUUCUAUCAAUUAUUUAUAUUACGGGUGCGACCUUACCGAGUCGAUUUCGGACAGCGAAAAGGGGUAAGUUCUUGAGUAAUAGAGCUUAAAUUAUGAUUUGAUUAGAUCAUGUUUUAAGCAAAUCAAAAUCAUGCUCUUUGUGUAUGGCUAUUGAGCCGAAAUUGCAAGAAUGAUAAGUGUCUUGUGUUUGAGUUUUGCUAACGAAAAUGAAAUACGAAUGUGCCAUGAUUUGUUGUUAAAUGUGCAUGGUUAUUUGAAUGAUGUCCGGGCUAAGUCCCGAAGGCUUUGUGCUAAGUGACCAUAUCCGGACUAAGACGCGAAGGCAUUGGUGCGAGUUACUAAAUCCGGGCUAAGUCCCGAAGAGCAUUCAUGCUAGUGAUGUAUUCGGGCUAAGUCCCGAAGAGCAUUCAUGCUAGUGAUGUAUCCGGGCUAAGUCCCGAAGAGCAUUCAUGCUAGUGAUGUAUCCGGGCUAAGUUCCGAAGAGCAUUCGUGCUAGUGAUAUAUCCGUGCUAAACCCCGAAGAGCAUUCGUGCUGGUGUUAUGUCCGGGCUAGGUCCCGAAGAGCAAUCAUGCUGGUGACGUGUAUUCGGGCCUUCGUGCCUAGUAGGCUUCGUGCCGGUAAUUUGAGCAAAGUUUAAGUAUUCAUUACUAUACGAAUUCAAAUUUAAAUGAGAUGAUAUGUUUAAAAGUGUUCAUACAUGAUGUUUAUAGACUUGGUUAAGUCAUUUCAAUGUGUAAUAACGAAUGAAUAAGAGCACUAUGUGUGUGAAUGAUUAGAGGCACUGUGUGUGUGCGAAUUCCUUUAACCGAGCACUAUGAGUGCGAGAUCGGUCAGUGGGCACUAAGUGUGUGAAGUGGAAUUCAUGUAAGACCUCGUUUGGGACGAAGGCAUUGAUUUGAGAUAGUGUGUAAGACCAUGUCUGGGACAUGGCAUCGGCUCGAUAUGUGAGAAUAUGUAAGACCAUAUCUAGGAUAUGGCAUUGUAAGAGCUAUAUGUACUAUUGCUGAAUGGACACUAUUUUGUUAAUCUUGUUUAAGAAAUUAUUUUGAUUAAGUUUCGACAUUCGAAAGUUUGAAAGAAUUUUUGAUGAAUGUUGAUAAUUUUUGAUAUACGAGUUAUGUGCUAGAAUAAAUCUCAUGCCAGUGUAUUAUAUUAGGCUUUAUGCCUAUUCGACUGUAUACGGGUAACGUUAACUAUGAUUGAAUGUGCUAAAUGAACUAAAUGUUCAGGUACGUGGAAGUUGACUUUUCUUUUGGAAAUGAGUUAAGUUGAAUAUUGAGAUGUGAUAGAGUUAUAAAGGAUAUUUAUUGGGAUGUUUGAGUAUAUGUGUACUUUCGGUUAGGUUACAGCUUAUUCAUGAAUGAAAAUGUGGGUUACAAAUAUGUGGGUUGAUAAUGUGAAUUAUACAUGUUAAUAUGUGUUUGAAAUGCAUUUGUGAAUUAAGUUAAGUGAUUAUUGCUUAUGAAAUCAAGAAAAUGAGAUAUUUGUGCAUACUUGUAGAAAUGUUUAUGUAUUUGUUUUAAGAUAAGAAAAUGAUUUUAUAGACCGAUGCGAAAUCAAUAAUGAAUUAUAAUUGCUAUCAAUGAGCUAAUGUCUUUGUGGAUAUAAUUCAAUAAGAGGACGUUAUCCUAAACUAUGCAUUGGUAGAAAUUUUCGGGGACGAAAAUUUCUUAAGGGGGGGAGAGUUGUGACACCCCUAAAGUGACCCUAGUCGGAAAGUGGUUUCGGGACCACUAAACCGAGUCAUAAAGAUAAUUAACCGUCAUAGUUGAUGCUCAUUAUAUGUACAUAUGCAUGUGUGAAAAUUUCAUGUUUGAAUUUUAUUAAUGGUAAGUGAAUUUUAUCAAAUAGGACUUAUGUGAGAAAAUUUGAAAAUGUGCUAGGCAAAUGUAAAGUGGCCUAAUAAUGCAUGUUGUGAAAUGAUGGGUUUGCAUGUCAAAUUCCCCACUUUAGAGGAAGUGGCCGGCCAUGAGGGUAUGGGAUACAAAGCAUAUGCAUUUUGUAUUAAUAUUAUAAUGACUACAUGGUUUUAUAAUAGGAAAUAAGUAUUAAAAAAAACAUAUUAAAGACAUUUUAUGCUAAUAUGUGUGGGAAGAAUAAUAAAAUAUGAGGGGAGUGGGAGGAGAAACCAAAGUUGUCUCCCCUUACUCCCCAUUGCCGUGACUAGAGAAAGGGGAGGAAAAACAAAAUUCUUCCUUUUUUGUUCAACAUGGCCGAAUGGAAGGAAGAAGAAGAGGGGAAGUUCGGCCAAGGUGGUUCUUGAGAUUAAGGUAUGUUCAAUGUUGCUUUUGGAGGUUUACACAUCCUUUGGAGGGUUAGCCUACUUCUAUUUAUCUCAUGGAUGAAAUUAGAGUUGUUGGAGAGUUAGGAUUCGGCUAAGAGGCUUCAAAAUUUUAGUUGAUGCCUUGAUACUACUAGCAUGUUAGCUAUAUGGAUGUGUUAAAUUACUUGAAAUGCUAGAUAAAUUUGAACUCCCUACCAAAUUCUUUAGGCAACCCAUGUUAGAAAUUUCGGUAUUGAGAUGUCUAGAUCUUUCGGCCAUUGUAGCUAUGGAGGAAUAAAGUUUUUGUUUCUUGUUAAAUUGGAUGAAUCUUGUUGUAUGAGUGCUUAAACAAACUAUGAUUAAAUGGAUGCAUAAAUUCAAAGUGGGAAGAAAUGGGCUAUUAUAUUUGAUGCUAAUGCCGAAUAUGAAGAUGAUGAACUUGAAUAAAUAAUAUUCAGCUAGCAUGAUAAGUUAUGAAAUAUUAAGUAGAUGAUAUAAUUGAUUGAUGAAGUGGCUAAUAAGGAUUUCUAAUGAAAUUGUUGCCAAGGCCGAAUGUAUCAUGAAGUAAAUUUGUUUGAUUUAGCUCAAGAGCCUAGAGGAUCAAAGUUGGAUAAGGGAAAGGAAAAAAGUGAUCGAAGAGCCGUCGUAAUCGUUCGGCAACUUCCGAGGUAAGUUUUAAGUGUUUAAACGUUGAGUAAAUUCAAUUAUAAUAAGACGUGAUGAGCUGAUUUAAUAAGAUAUGAUGUGGCCAUGAUAUGUUCUAAGCUCAAAUGGUAAGUUCUUAAGUGUUUGAGCUUGGGAAUUUAAAGGUAAUUUGAAAUAGUCUGCUUCGGACAGUAGCAGUAACGUGAAUUUAGAAAAUCACCAUAAAUUUAUGGACUUGAAUUAGAGGCUGAAUGAGACAUGAAAUUAAAUCUUAAUGAGUCUAGUUUUUUAUAAAAGAAACCGUGUAAGCAAAGGAAUUUCCGAUAAUGAGAUAUUUAAAGUUGUGUGAGACGGUGUCAGAAUGACUCUGAAAUCCCCUGUUCUGUUUUUAGAAAAUCAUUAUAAAUUGUACAAAAAUGGUUAUAAGAUAAAAUUUAUAUGCUUAAACUCCUUAAUGAGUCUAGUUUCAAAUAAAAUCAAAUACAACACAUUUUGAAUUCUGUAAAAUGAGAAAUUUGAUUCGUAGUGAAGAGUGGUCAGAUUAGUCAAACAGUGGAACAGGGGAAACUUUAAGAAAAAUCUGGUAUUGAUUGGCCAAACCUAAAAUUCUGGAAAUUUUAUGGAUGGAAUAUAUACGAGUCUAUAUUCAAGAAAAAUUAACGGAAAGUGAUUUGGAGUUUUGUAGCUCCAGUUAUAAAUGAUUUAGUAACUAUUGCUCAGGAAAAACAGCUUGUGCUGAAUUUGAGAUUGUGUUGUAAACUUUGAUAAGCUUGUUCUAGUUGCUCAUAAGCUAUCGAUUAAACCCAUAUAUGAAUUCUAAAUUGUGAUAUUGGAAAAUGAUAGAUGUAGAUUCAGCCAAGAGAGUAUGUGUGAUAAGGCCUAAUAGCCGAUGUGAUGAAUGUGAAAGUGUAUGUAUAUGUGAUAAGGCCUAAUGGCCGAUGUGAUGAAUGUGAAAGUGUAUGUAUAUAUGUGAUAAGGCCUAAUGGCCGAUGUGAUGAAUGUGAAAGUAUAUGUAUAUAUGUAAUAAGGCCUAAUAGCCGAUGUGAUGAAUGUGAAAGUGUAUAUGUGUGAUAAGGCCUAAUAGCCGACGUGAUGAAUGUGAAAGUUUAUGUGUGAUAAGGCCUAAUAGCCGAGGUGAUGAAUGUGAAAGUGUAUGUAUAUAUGUAAUAAGGCCUAAUAGCCGAUGUGAUGAAUGUGAAAGUGUAUGUAUAUAUGUAAUAAGGCCUAAUAGCCGAUGUGAUGAAUGUGAAAGUGUAUAUGUGUGAUAAGGCCUAAUAGCCGACGUGAUGAAUGUGAAAGUGUAUAUAUGUAAUAAGGCCUAAUUGCCGAUGUGAUGAAUGUGAAAGUGUAUAUAUAAGAUAAGGCUUAAUGGCCGAUGCGAUGAAUGUGAAAGUGUAUUUGUGUGAUAAGGCCUAAUAGCCGACGUGAUGAAUGUGAAAGUGUAUAUGUGUGAUAAGGCCUAAUAGCCGACGUGAUGAAUGUGAAAGUGUAUAUAUGUAAUAAGGCCUAAUGGCCGAGGUGAUGAAUGUGAAAGUAUAUAUAUGUGAUAAGGCCUAAUGGCCGAUGUGAUGAAUGUGAAAGUAUAUGUAUAUAUGUAAUAAGGCCUAAUAGCCGAUGUGAUGAAUGUGAAAGUGUAUAUAUGUGAUAAGGCCUAAUGGCCGAUGCGAUGAAUGUGAAAGUGUAUAUAUGUGAUAAGGCCUAAUGGCCGAUGUAAUAAAUGUGAAAGUGUAUAUAUGUGACAGGGCCGAGUGGCCAACGUAAUGGAUGUGAAAGUGCAUAAAUGUGAUAAGUCCCGAAAGGCAUUUGUGUCAGUACUAUAUCCGGGUUAAAACCCCGCAGGCUUUAUGCGAGAAUAUUAUCACUGAUUAAUGUUCUUAAGCUUCGUGCUUGUACUAUAUCCGAGCUCUAAAGACCCGAUGACUACGUGUGGGGAUUUUGUCCGGAUAAGACCCGAUAACUUCGUGUGGAGAUUAUGUCCGGGUAAGACUUCGUAAUAAGAAUUGCUUAUAAAUAUAUUCAAUGCGAAAGGUUAAACAGGUAUGUACUUCAAGUUUAUAUGUGAGCUUGAUUUGCACUAAAUCAUAAGGUAGUUAUGUGAUGCAUACGAAAGCAAUCUAUGAGACUAUUCCUAUGAUUAUGUGACAUCGGAUCAGUGUGAGAG